AGUGAACGCUGGCGGUAGGCCUAACACAUGCAAGUCGAACGGCAGCACAGUAAGAGCUUGCUCUUACGGGUGGCGAGUGGCGGACGGGUGAGGAAUACAUCGGAAUCUACUUUUUCGUGGGGGAUAACGUAGGGAAACUUACGCUAAUACCGCAUACGACCUACGGGUGAAAGCAGGGGAUCUUCGGACCUUGCGCGAUUGAAUGAGCCGAUGUCGGAUUAGCUAGUUGGCGGGGUAAAGGCCCACCAAGGCGACGAUCCGUAGCUGGUCUGAGAGGAUGAUCAGCCACACUGGAACUGAGACAAGGUCCAGACUCCUACGGGAGGCAGCAGUGGGGAAUAUUGGGCAAUGGGCGCAAGCCUGAUCCAGCCAUACCGCGUGGGUGAAGAAGGCCUUCGGGUUGUAAAGCCCUUUUGUUGGGAAAGAAAAGCAGCAGGUUAAUACCCCGCUGUUCUGACGGUACCCAAAGAAUAAGCACCGGCUAACUUCGUG
RNAcentral lists this ribosomal RNA (492 nucleotides) under uncultured bacterium. RNAcentral's name for it is "partial 16S ribosomal RNA". It matches the Rfam family "Bacterial small subunit ribosomal RNA", at positions 29 to 507 of the family's 1533-position model. The record is from RNAcentral.